RNAcentral lists this non-coding RNA (23 nucleotides) under Rattus norvegicus (Norway rat). The record is from RNAcentral. Lineage: Eukaryota; Metazoa; Chordata; Mammalia; Rodentia; Muridae.
UAUUGAUCUGUCUGCACAAGCCA